Molecule: ribosomal RNA, 486 nt
Filed under: uncultured bacterium
Lineage: Bacteria
Description: partial 16S ribosomal RNA
Rfam family: Bacterial small subunit ribosomal RNA
Source: RNAcentral
AUUGAACGCUGGCGGCAUGCCUUACACAUGCAAGUCGAACGGCAGCACGGGUGCUUGCACCUGGUGGCGAGUGGCGAACGGGUGAGUAAUACAUCGGAACAUGUCCUGUAGCGGGGGAUAGCCCGGCGAAAGCCGGAUUAAUACCGCAUACGAUCUACGGAUGAAAGCGGGGGACCUUCGGGCCUCGCGCUAUAGGGUUGGCCGAUGGCUGAUUAGCUAGUUGGUGGGGUAAAGGCCUACCAAGGCGACGAUCAGUAGCUGGUCUGAGAGGACGACCAGCCACACUGGGACGGAGACACGGCCCAGACGCCUACGGGAGGCAGCAGUGGGGAAUUUUGGACAAUGGGCGAAAGCCUGAUCCAGCAAUGCCGCGUGUGUGAAGAAGGCCUUCGGGUUGUAAAGCACUUUUGUCCGGAAAGAAAUCCUUGGCCCUAAUACGGUCGGGGGAUGACGGUACCGGAAGAAUAAGCACCGGCUAACUACGUG